Molecule: unclassified non-coding RNA, 331 nt
Filed under: Hevea brasiliensis (rubber tree)
Lineage: Eukaryota; Viridiplantae; Streptophyta; Magnoliopsida; Malpighiales; Euphorbiaceae
Source: RNAcentral
UUUCUGGCAACCCCACCUGCAGGAUUAUAUUAAAUUUCGUGCAAUCUUGUUGCCCUUCCUAUAUUUGAUUCUUAAUUUCUUUGGCUUGCUAUUCAGGAUGGUCUUCCAACUAUCGCAACAUGAGUUCUUGCGAUAUUUGCAAGCCUUUAUUGAAUCAACUAUCCGUUCUCUGUGUGAUUGUUGUAUUUUUGUAACAAGGGGCGUGUUCAGGGUUUUCUUUCAAAUUAGUUAUUGCUCUGUUCUCUUUAGGCCGAGUUAUUUGCUAUCUGUCAUGGUCUUUGUUGAUGGUUCUGCUUUGUUAUUUUGGAAUCAACGAUUCAAUCGGUUGGCG